AUGGACGCUGGCGGCGUGCUUAACACAUGCAAGUCGAACGAUGAUCCCAGCUUGCUGGGGGAUUAGUGGCGAACGGGUGAGUAACACGUGAGUAACCUGCCCUUGACUCUGGGAUAAGCCUGGGAAACUGGGUCUAAUACCGGAUAUGACUCCUCAUCGCAUGGUGGGGGGUGGAAAGCUUUUGUGGUUUUGGAUGGACUCGCGGCCUAUCAGCUUGUUGGUGGGGUAAUGGCCUACCAAGGCGACGACGGGUAGCCGGCCUGAGAGGGUGACCGGCCACACUGGGACUGAGACACGGCCCAGACUCCUACGGGAGGCAGCAGUGGGGAAUAUUGCACAAUGGGCGCAAGCCUGAUGCAGCGACGCCGCGUGAGGGAUGACGGCCUUCGGGUUGUAAACCUCUUUCAGUAGGGAAGAAGCGUAAGUGACGGUACCUGCAGAAGAAGCGCCGGCUAACUACGU
RNAcentral lists this ribosomal RNA (462 nucleotides) under uncultured bacterium. RNAcentral's name for it is "bacterial SSU rRNA". It matches the Rfam family "Bacterial small subunit ribosomal RNA", at positions 29 to 506 of the family's 1533-position model. The record is from RNAcentral.